AUACGUAGGGGGCGAGCGUUGUCCGGAAUGAUUGGGCGUAAAGGGCGCGUAGGCGGCCCGGUAAGUCUGGAGUGAAAGUCCUGUUUUUAAGAUGGGAAUUGCUUUGGAUACUGUCGGGCUUGAGUGCAGGAGAGGUAAGUGGAAUUCCCAGUGUAGCGGUGAAAUGCGUAGAGAUUGGGAGGAACACCAGUGGCGAAGGCGAAUUACUGGACUGUAACUGACGCUGAGGCGCGAAAGUGUGGUGAGCAAACAGGAUGAGAUACACUGGUAGUCCACCCUGUAAACGAUGAACGCUAGGUGUAGGGGGUAUCGACCCCUGCGGGGCCGCAGUCAACACAAUAAGCAUUCCGCCUGGGGAGUACGGCCGCAAGGUUGAAACUCAAAGGAAUUGACGUGG
Molecule: ribosomal RNA, 397 nt
Filed under: uncultured bacterium
Lineage: Bacteria
Description: partial 16S ribosomal RNA
Rfam family: Bacterial small subunit ribosomal RNA
Source: RNAcentral